UAGGGAAUCUUCGGCAAUGGGGGGAACCCUGACCGAGCAACGCCGCGGGAGUGAAGAAGGUUUUCGGAUCGUAAAGCUCCGUUGUUAAGGAAGAACGAGAGUGAGAAUGGAAAGUUCAUGCUGGGACGGUACUUAACUACAAAGGGACGGCUAACUACGUGCCAGCAGCCGCGGUAAUACGUAGGUCCCGAGCGUUGUCCGGAUUGGUUGGGCGUAAAGCGAGCGCAGGCGGUUAGAAAAGUCUGAAGUGAAAGGCAGUGGCUCAACCAUUGUAGGCUUUGGAAACUGUUUAUCUUGAGUGCAGAAGGGGAGAGUGGAAUUCCAUGUGUAGCGGUGAAAUGCGUAGAUAUAUGGAGGAACACCGGUGGCGAAGGCGGCUCUCUGGUCUGUAACUGACGCUGAGGCUCGAAAGCGUGGGGAGCGAACAGG
This 429-nucleotide ribosomal RNA is filed under the name Bacteroidota bacterium. RNAcentral's name for it is "Bacteroidetes bacterium partial 16S ribosomal RNA". It matches the Rfam family "Bacterial small subunit ribosomal RNA", at positions 355 to 776 of the family's 1533-position model. Lineage: Bacteria; Pseudomonadati; Bacteroidota. The record is from RNAcentral.